RNAcentral lists this ribosomal RNA (432 nucleotides) under uncultured bacterium. RNAcentral's name for it is "partial 16S ribosomal RNA". It matches the Rfam family "Bacterial small subunit ribosomal RNA", at positions 29 to 506 of the family's 1533-position model. The record is from RNAcentral.
AACGAACGCUGGCGGCAUGCCUAACACAUGCAAGUCGAACGAGACCUUCGGGUCUAGUGGCGCACGGGUGCGUAACGCGUGGGAACCUGCCCUUAGGUUCGGAAUAACUCCCCGAAAGGGGUGCUAAUACCGGAUAAUGUCUUCGGACCAAAGAUUUAUCGCCUUUGGAUGGGCCCGCGUUGGAUUAGCUAGUUGGUAGGGUAAAAGCCUACCAAGGCGACGAUCCAUAGCUGGUCUGAGAGGAUGAUCAGCCACACUGGGACUGAGACACGGCCCAGACUCCUACGGGGGGCAGCAGGGGGGAAUAUUGGAAAAGGGGCGAAAGCCUGAUCCCGCAAUGCCGGGUGAGUGAUGAAGGCCUUAGGGUUGAAAAGCUCUUUUACCCGGGAUGAUAAUGACAGUACCGGGAGAAAAAGCCCCGGCUAACUCCGU